Molecule: ribosomal RNA, 429 nt
Filed under: Gemmatimonadota bacterium
Lineage: Bacteria; Pseudomonadati; Gemmatimonadota
Description: Gemmatimonadetes bacterium partial 16S ribosomal RNA
Rfam family: Bacterial small subunit ribosomal RNA
Source: RNAcentral
UAGGGAAUCUUCGGCAAUGGACGCAAGCCUGAUCGAGCAACGCCGCGUGAGUGAAGAAGGUUUUCGGGUCGUAAAACUCUGUUGUUAGAGAAGAACAAGGACGUUAGUAACUGAACGUCCCCUGACGGUAUCUAACCAGAAAGCCACGGCUAACUACGUGCCAGCAGCCGCGGUAAUACGUAGGUGGCAAGCGUUGUCCGGAAUUAUUGGGCGUAAAGCGAGCGCAGGCGGUUGCUUAAGUCAGAUGUGAAAGCCCCCGGCUCAACCGGGGAGGGUCAGUGGAAACUGGGAGACUUGAGUGCAGAAGAGGGGGGUGGAAUUCCGUGUGUAGCGGUGAAAUGCGUAGAUAUAUGGAGGAACACCGGUGGCGAAGGCGGCUCUCUGGUCUGUAACUGACGCUGAGGCACGAAAGCGUGGGGAGCAAACAGG